RNAcentral lists this long non-coding RNA (3059 nucleotides) under Prunus persica (peach). Lineage: Eukaryota; Viridiplantae; Streptophyta; Magnoliopsida; Rosales; Rosaceae. The record is from RNAcentral.
UCCAGUAAGGCCACCACGAUGAUGGAGCUCGAAGGAAGUUCCUUCGCGUUCUUGCAUUCUUUCAAAAAGAGAGAGAGAGAGAGAGAAUGAUUUUUCUUUUUCUUUUGAUUUUAAAUGAAAAUUAAUUAUUUAAUAUAAUUUUACUUGUUUGUAUAAUUGUUUAUUAGUUUUUUGUCCACGUGGGUUUAGGGGUUUAGACUCGUAAAUGACUCGUAAAAUCGGGUAUAGACUCGUAAAUGAUCCUAUAGGUUGAGGGGUUUACUGUAGUUUACCAUUCUUAAAAUACCGUGUUUAUUGAUUUUGUAAGACAUAAUUAGAAUACAAUAAGGAAUCAGAUCCAAAUGCAUGUCAAAUUUUUAUUUGGUUGGGAAAAAUCAAGAAUAUAAUACAAAGAACAUUAGAACUGACAAUGGGGUUUGAGGUUUCUUGUUAAUUACAAAUGGGAUUCAUUUGGUCCAUUAACUCUUCGAUUUGAUAAGGAGUCAGAUCCAAAACAUUCACCUCCAGUGAGGCUCUUCUCUUGGGCCCAUUUCUUUGUGGCCCAAACCCAACAAAAAAACCCAAAAUGCCGAAACCCAUUUUGCUCCCUAAUUUCCAUAUAUAACAAACUUUCCCAUUCCCACCCUAACAGGUGCCUAUAUACACCACCCAACUCUCACACGCUUCUCAUCCCAUUUUCUCUACGCCUCCCAAACCCUAAUCCUUUCCCGAAGAAGUUUUCUUAGAUCCCAAAUCUAGGGUUUUUCAAUCAAAUUCAAUUGUUUUUGCAGCUCAUUUGUGUUUUCUGUUAAAUCAGAAGUGUGCGGUGAUGAGGCUAUUUGUGGACUAGAGUUUAUGAUCUGGGUUCUUCUCCCAAAAGUUUGAUUACAAACCCUUGGCUGUCUGAGCACUCUUCAUCUGUUCUCUAAUCUUCCAAUCUGUGGUUUUGGAAAGUGCUUUUUUCCGAAGUAACCCAUCUUACCUUUUUGACUUUCUGGCAGAUCCCAUAAAUUUUUUCUCAAAUUUAUUGGCUUUUUUAUGCUGUAAAAUUGAUUUUGUUUGUUAGGGUUUGUAUGGCUCUACGUUGAGCUUAUGAUGAUAAUUUUUAAUUAUCUUAGCGGAUUUCAGUGAGCCCUUAAUUAGGGUGAAUGAUCUGAUUGUUACAUAUACUGAGGCUCGAAUUUUAAUUAUUUUUCCUAAAAUUUUUGACAGUAGUUUUGGUUUGGUUUAAAGUUCGCAAAUUUUGAUUUGUUGGGUUGUGGUUUGCGAUGAUGAGGUGAAACACUGGACGUAUUUUGGGCAGUGGACAUGACCUCCAUUUGGGGGUCUUGCCGUGAGCUCAUUCUUACAAAACGACUUCUCCUUCCACUGAGCUCCAUUCCAACAUAAUCAAGUUUUAAAUUUAAUCUAGUGAAAUUGAAAACCAAAUUGUGAAAAAUGCGUCCAUUACCAAUUCUAGAGGAUUAUUGGUUCCUCCUGAUGUAAUGGCUCGGACGCUACAUUGACCUAUGUGGCCAUCCUGAUCAAUGGAUACUCAAUGCCAUUGGAUCCUGGAAACACCCCAUACAUUUACUUUAAAUAAACAGACUUUAAUUUAGGUUAAUUCAUAAUAAUAAUUAGUCUUCAAUCUAUCCUGCUUGAACACCACUAUGUAAAUCAUGGUUCUGGUUUUUUUAUUUGUUUAAAUUGGAAUUUUUUUAAAGAUAAGCGUCUCGGUUUUUUUUAUUUUUUUGGAUCAGAAGUGGAUUUCAUUAAAAACUCAAAAAGGACGUAACAAUACACCAAAAGGUGAGAUCCAAUCAACUGGGCUCAUCAACGAAGCGAAAAUGCCAGAAGCCCGAAUAAAAUGCAAAAGAACCAACAAGAAGUUAAAAACUCAGAAGGCUAAGCUCAUACCAAGGCCAAGAAAGCUAACGAACCCUAACCAAAAUUCAACAAAGCCGCCGCCACUGCCUGAGACGACAUCAUUGGGACAAGCCGCCACCCAAAUACCUUAUAAUCCCACGUAUUAUAAAGACACAUACAAGAAAAAAGAAGCCAGCCAUAAGAUCAUCACCUUCCAAAUCAAACCUGACAAAGCACCAGAACAAACACAAAAACCAAACAAACAUUAACAUAAUAGAAGGAGGUGGUGCAAGCACCCGAGAAAGAGCAAAAGCUCAAACUCUACACAUCUUUAGAGUUGUGCGCGGGAAAUUGCGUUUUCAGCUAGCCGAAGUAGCCACAAGGUUAAGCCAGAUCAAAAGGGAGGAGAAAAUUUCGGUGGGAAGGACCAAGACCAUAGAGAAGGGAUUUGAAUGGAGUGUGUGAGGGAGAUAAGUGGAAAUGGAUGGAGGAGGGGACAACUGAAUACAAGGGAUGAGAAAUAAGGGGGGAUCUGGGUAAAUAAAGGAAAUCGUAGGCAUAAAGCCUCAAGAGUUCAAGCAGAGCUUGAGCAAAACACCCACAAAGGGGAGAACAACACCCACCGAAUGGGAGAGCAGAACACCCACAAAAGGGGAGAGCAGAAACACCCACAAAGAAGGGGAGAAAACAAGCAACAGAUCUCCACAAGGAAAUCCACAAAAUCCACAAGCAAUAAGGAGCAGGCUAGAGAAGAGAACGUUUUCACACAAGAUAAACUGCCACAUUUCUAUGCCCUUGAAACAUUGUUCAAGUCCCACUUGAAUUGUUAAAUCGGCUUUUGACAUAAGAAUUUAGGUGGUCGAAUUGGUAGGGUGUAAAUCCAAAUCAACUUGUCUGGUUUAGUUUUUGAAGAUGGAUUUGGAUUUGACUCAAAUUCAUUUAAAAUUUCAUAAACUCAAAUUUGUAGGUGGUUUUGUGUUGAAUCAAAUUCAUUUGCUCAAAAAAGGCCCAAUUCAUAUAGUCCGAUUUAGGUGAAAUGAUAUAUAACUUUGACAUAUUAGUUGGAGCCGAAGUGUAGAUUAAAUUUGAGUUCCAAAAUUGGUAAAUAGCAAAUUGAAAGUUUAAAUCAACAUCAUAUUUCUCGUCCCUCGAACUGAUGUGCUUGAUAUCAGAUUAGAUUAUUGCAAAACCUACUGAUACAAGAAAAAAAAAAAAUGCUCAAGAUGAAUUUCUUC